UACGGGGGGGGCAAGCGUUGUUCGGAAUUACUGGGCGUAAAGGGCUCGUAGGUGGCCAACUAAGUCAGACGUGAAAUCCCCUGGCUCAACCAGGGAACUGCGUCUGAUACUGGAUGGCUUGAAUCCGGGAGAGGGAUGUGGAAUUCCAGGUGUAGCGGUGAAAUGCGUAGAUAUCUGGAGGAACACCUGUGGCGAAGGCGGCAUCCUGGACCGGUAUUGACGCUGAGGCGCGAAAGCCAGGGGAGCAAACGGG
RNAcentral lists this ribosomal RNA (253 nucleotides) under uncultured bacterium. Its description in RNAcentral is "partial 16S ribosomal RNA". It matches the Rfam family "Bacterial small subunit ribosomal RNA", at positions 524 to 776 of the family's 1533-position model. The record is from RNAcentral.